CCUCUGGUCAGUGCGGACUUUCUUUUGCAGGCGCUCGUUCCCGGCGACCAGGCGACGAGGGGAUUGGCCGCAACAGAUUGGCGCGCCAGGUAGGGGUACUACGAAGCAACACUCAUAGUGACAAGUUAGUGCUUCAUCGAUAGCACAGGGGACAGUAACCCCCACAGAAUUCAAGAUGACAAAGACAAGAGCUCAGCGAUCGAAGGUCACCGGGUCGGCGAGGUGCUCUUCCCGUCGGGAAGAGGCCUCUCCUCCACCCUCCACGGCGGAACCCAGUUCUCCACACCCC
RNAcentral lists this long non-coding RNA (289 nucleotides) under Elaeis guineensis (African oil palm). RNAcentral describes it as "long non-coding RNA (EGUI_LNC080898)". Lineage: Eukaryota; Viridiplantae; Streptophyta; Magnoliopsida; Arecales; Arecaceae. The record is from RNAcentral.